AUACGUAGGUGGCAAGCGUUGUCCGGAUUUAUUGGGCGUAAAGCGAGCGCAGGCGGUUUCUUAAGUCUGAUGUGAAAGCCCCCGGCUCAACCGGGGAGGGUCAUUGGAAACUGGGAGACUUGAGUGCAGAAGAGGAGAGUGGAAUUCCAUGUGUAGCGGUGAAAUGCGUAGAUAUAUGGAGGAACACCAGUGGCGAAGGCGGUUCUCUGGACCUUUCCUGACGCUGAGGAGCGAAAGCGUGGGGAGCAAACAGGAUUAGAUACCCUGGUAGUCCACGCCGUAAACGAUGAGUGCUAAGUGUUGGAGGGUUUCCGCCCUUCAGUGCUGCAGCUAACGCAUUAAGCACUCCGCCUGGGGAGUACGACCGCAAGGUUGAA
RNAcentral lists this ribosomal RNA (377 nucleotides) under uncultured bacterium. RNAcentral describes it as "bacterial SSU rRNA". It matches the Rfam family "Bacterial small subunit ribosomal RNA", at positions 523 to 898 of the family's 1533-position model. The record is from RNAcentral.